GGCCUAUUAGCUCAGUUGGUUAGAGCGUCGUGCUAAUAACGCGAAGGUCACAGUUUCGAAACCUGUAUAGGCCA
RNAcentral lists this transfer RNA (74 nucleotides) under Brassica oleracea var. oleracea. RNAcentral describes it as "tRNA tRNA-Ile". It matches the Rfam family "tRNA". Rfam says of the family: Transfer RNA (tRNA) molecules are approximately 80 nucleotides in length. Their secondary structure includes four short double-helical elements and three loops (D, anti-codon, and T loops). Lineage: Eukaryota; Viridiplantae; Streptophyta; Magnoliopsida; Brassicales; Brassicaceae. The record is from Rfam by way of RNAcentral.